GAGAGUAUAGCUCAGUGAUAGAGCAUGUGCUUAGCAUGCAUGAAGUCCUUGGUUCAAUCCCUGGUGACUCA
This 71-nucleotide transfer RNA is filed under the name Camelus bactrianus (Bactrian camel). It matches the Rfam family "tRNA". From Rfam's summary of the family: Transfer RNA (tRNA) molecules are approximately 80 nucleotides in length. Their secondary structure includes four short double-helical elements and three loops (D, anti-codon, and T loops). Further hydrogen bonds mediate the characteristic L-shaped molecular structure. tRNAs have two regions of fundamental functional importance: the anti-codon, which is responsible for specific mRNA codon recognition, and the 3' end, to which the tRNAs corresponding amino acid is attached (by aminoacyl-tRNA synthetases). tRNAs cope with the degeneracy of the genetic code in two manners: having more than one tRNA (with a specific anti-codon) for a particular amino acid; and 'wobble' base-pairing, i.e. permitting non-standard base-pairing at the 3rd anti-codon position. The record is from Rfam by way of RNAcentral. RNAcentral also lists the same sequence under 2 other names. Lineage: Eukaryota; Metazoa; Chordata; Mammalia; Artiodactyla; Camelidae.